RNAcentral lists this ribosomal RNA (1460 nucleotides) under uncultured bacterium. Its description in RNAcentral is "16S ribosomal RNA". It matches the Rfam family "Bacterial small subunit ribosomal RNA". The record is from RNAcentral.
AGACAUGCAAGUCGAGCGGGGCGCAGUGUGGUAGCAAUACCGUGCUGCGCUUAGCGGCGAACGGGUGAGUAAUACAGGGGUAACCACCCCCAAGGAGGAGAAUAACCCACCGAAAGGUGGGCUAAUACUCCAUGUGCUGACCGGGAGGCAUCUUCCGGUCAGGAAAGGUGCCGCAAGGUGCCGCCUUGGGACGGGCUCCUGGCCUAUCAGCUUGAUGGCGGGGUAAAAGCCCACCAUGGCUGAGACGGGUAGCUGGCGUGAGAGCGUGACCAGCCACAGGGGAACUGAGACACGGUCCCCACUCCUACGGGAGGCAGCAGUCUAGAAAUUUGGGCAAUGGGCGAAAGCCUGACCCAGCGACGCCGCGUGGGGGAAGAAGUCUUUGGAUUGUAAAGCCCUUUUCAGGGAGAAGAAUGGAUCGCCGGGGAAUACCUGGUGAUCCUUGACAGUACCCCUGGAAUAAGCCCCGGCUAACUACGUGCCAGCAGCCGCGGUAAUACGUAGGGGGCAGCGUUGUUCCGAUUACUGGGUGUAAAGCGCGUGUAGGCGACUCCUUAAGUUGCAUGUGAAUCUCCGGCUCAACUGGGAGGAGUCAUUCAAUACUGAGGGGAUGUGAGGACAGAAGAGGGAAGUGGAAUUCCCGGUGUAGCGGUAAAUGCGUAGAUAUCGGGAGGAACACCAGUGGCGAAGGCGGCUUCCUGGUCUGUCCCUGACGCUGAGGCGCGAAAGCUAGGGGAGCAAACGGGAUUAGAUACCCCGGUAGUCCUAGCCCUAAACGUUGGGUACUAGGUGUAGGAAAGGUUCAAUCUUUUCUGUGCCGCAGCUAACGCGUUAAGUACCCCACCUGGGGAGUACGGCCGCAAGACUGAAACUCAAAGGAAUUGACGGGGCCCCGCACAAGCAGCGGAGCGUGUGGUUUAAUUCGACGCUACACGAAGAACCUUACCGGGGCUUGACAUGCACGUGACCGCACCAGUAUGUAUGGUGCCUUCCUUGAAUUUUAUUCAAGGACACGUGCACAGGUGCUGCAUGGUCUGUCGUCAGCUCGUGUCGUGAGAUGUUGGGUUAAGUCCCGCAACGAGCGCAACCCUCGUCCUUAGUUGCUAACGAUUCCGAAAGGUUUCGUGCACUCUAAGGAGACCGCCGGCGAUAAGCUGGAGGAAGGUGGGGAUGACGUCAAGUCCUCAUGGCCCUUAUGUCCCGGGCUACACACACGCUACAAUGGCCUGAACAAAGGGUUGCAAAGCCGCGAGGUGGAGCCAAUCCCAGAAAUCAGGCCUCAGUUCAGAUUGCAGGCUGCAACUCGCCUGCAUGAAGACGGAGUUGCUAGUAACCGCAGGUCAGCUAUACUGCGGUGAAUACGUUCUCGGGGCUUGUACACACCGCCCGUCAAACCACCUCGAGUCUAGUGCACCCGAAGUCACCUCACCCAACCCGCAAGGGAGGAAGGUGCCGAAGGU